CCUACGGGAGGCAGCAGUGAGGAAUAUUGGACAAUGGGUGGAAGCCUGAUCCAGCCAUCCCGCGUGCAGGAAGACGGCCCUAUGGGUUGUAAACUGCUUUUAUCUGGGGAUAAACCUACUUACGUGUAAGUAGCUGAAGGUACCAGAAGAAUAAGCACCGGCUAACUCCGUGCCAGCAGCCGCGGUAAU
RNAcentral lists this ribosomal RNA (189 nucleotides) under uncultured bacterium. RNAcentral's name for it is "partial 16S ribosomal RNA". It matches the Rfam family "Bacterial small subunit ribosomal RNA", at positions 338 to 524 of the family's 1533-position model. The record is from RNAcentral.